AGCAGCCGCGGUAAUUCCAGCUCCAAUAGCGUAUAUUAAAGUUGUUGCAGUUAAAAAGCUCGUAGUUGAAUUUCGGGAUUGACACAUCGGUCGUGCCUUAAGGGGUAUGAACUGGUGUAGUCAAUUUCUCACCUUCUGGAGAACCGCGAUGCCCUUAAUUGGGUGUCACGGGGAACCAGGACCUUUACUUUGAAAAAAUUAGAGUGUUUAAAGCAGGCAUUUUGCUUGAAUACAUUAGCAUGGAAUAAUAAAAUAGGACGGCAUGAUUCUAUUUUGUUGGUUUCUAGGAUCACCGUAAUGAUUAAUAGGGAUAGUUGGGGGCAUUAGUAUUCAAUUGUCAGAAGUGAAAUUCUUGGAUUUAUUGAAGACUAACUACUGCGAAAGCAUUUGCCAAGGAUGUUCUCAUUAAUCAAGAACGAAAGUUAGGGGAUCGAAGACGAUCAGAUACCGUCGUAGUCUUAACCAUAAACUAUGCCGACUAGGGAUCGGAUGAUGUAAUUUUUAAUGACUCAUUCGGCGC
This 520-nucleotide ribosomal RNA is filed under the name uncultured Entrophospora. Its description in RNAcentral is "SSU rRNA". It matches the Rfam family "Eukaryotic small subunit ribosomal RNA", at positions 569 to 1086 of the family's 1831-position model. The record is from RNAcentral. Lineage: Eukaryota; Fungi; Glomeromycota; Glomeromycetes; Entrophosporales; Entrophosporaceae.